This is a long non-coding RNA of Branchiostoma floridae (Florida lancelet), 905 nucleotides long. RefSeq lists it as uncharacterized. Lineage: Eukaryota; Metazoa; Chordata; Leptocardii; Amphioxiformes; Branchiostomatidae. The record is from RefSeq and is a predicted model, not a curated record. The transcript is spliced from 2 exons.
UAUGGGUUUUACUCCCCGGGAUAGUAAUGUGUAGUUCGUAUGAUGUUACCAUAUAGCAGGUCAGGGGUGUCCGGCGUUUCAUGUAGUUGUCGGAAGGUCUAUUUGUUGUGUUUAUGUGUUGAGGAGAUAUUAAUGUUUAAGUCGAGAGGUAGAGGAGAGAGCAGCGGAGUUGAGUUGAGACGUAGAUGAGGUGUCGAGGUUAGAAGUCCGGUGUUGUGUGUAUGUGCGUCAGUGGUUGCUUUGCGUGCCCUGUCCGACCCCAACCUCUACAGGCGAGACUCCACAGCACGACUCGGCAGACAACGACGCCCCGAGGGCCCGACGUCGUAUAGGAGUCGUCGUCGUGGGAGCAUCUAGCCGGGAGGCCUCUGUGGACAAGACAAGCCUCUUCCCGACGGGCAGAGGAGUUCCUGUCGUUUCCUGUGGUUCCGGGACACACCCGGAAGUGCGCAAGCCGGCCGCCGAGGAGGAAGUUGGCGCGGGACACCUGGCAACCAUUUGAUGAACUUUUUUUGUUGUAAAUUGUUAUGUUUUUGUUGUUGUUUUGUAAAUGUCGGAAUGUCGCUGACCUGCAUUGUAGAAGAAUUAGUAGUAUUGUAUAGAAGUAUGUAAAAGAAAAGCGGUGAUGAUCUUCCUGAUAAUAUGUCCCGGUAAUCAAUAAUUGAUAACAGCUGUCAACAAUGUGGAAAUUGUUUUAAAAAAUGAGGGGUGAGGUGUCACGAGGUGACAGCGUGUCAAGUCACUGUUAACCCCUGGUGUGGGGAAUGUCACCGGACUAAGUGGGACCAGAUGGAGAGGGGUCGGGAGAAGUGACACGUAUGAGGGUACGGGGGGAUUCAACCGAGAGAAGCCGACAGAGAAAGACGUGUCUACCAGAGCUCCGAAUAAAGUCUUCUAUCCGCAAA